GUGCAUCUUGUCUCUUACAAUUUUGUUCAGAAAAAAAAAAGAAGAGACAGGAUGAGAAAAUAAAGAAAAUAAAAACAGAAAAUAUAGAAAAAUGAAAAAAAAAUUUGAAUAAUGGAGUCAAGAAGAGGAUUGAAUUAGAGGGUUUUGGGUGUGGUUUGAUUGUGUUUCACUUGUUCCCCAUUGCUCCUCUAUUUCCUUUGGUUUGUAACUUCUCAUCCAUAUCAUAUCCUCCCUUGUCCUUGGCCCCGUUGCAUCCAUAAAAGGCCUUUUGAUUUGAACAUGCAUAUAUGUUUGAGUGUUGAUAUUAGAGGCUUGCCAAGUCUGUUUGUGUUUGCUUUCCUGAGUGCAUUGAGUUGACAUUGUUUACCUUAGACACUUGAGA
Molecule: long non-coding RNA, 382 nt
Filed under: Vigna radiata
Lineage: Eukaryota; Viridiplantae; Streptophyta; Magnoliopsida; Fabales; Fabaceae
Description: long non-coding RNA (VRAD_LNC016142)
Source: RNAcentral